AAACUUAGGUUAAAUAAACCAGGGACCUUCAAAGCCCCAAACAAGAGUCACCACACCCUCCUAGUUUCU
RNAcentral lists this transfer RNA (69 nucleotides) under Cyrtodactylus agusanensis (Mindanao bow-fingered gecko). RNAcentral describes it as "tRNA-Trp". Lineage: Eukaryota; Metazoa; Chordata; Lepidosauria; Squamata; Gekkonidae. The record is from RNAcentral.